AUGAGGAUUGAAGAAAUUAAUGAUCAUUCAGUCAUUGAGGAUUUCAUAAGAGACAUCAAUGUUCCAGUAGAGGUGUUAUUGAAGUUGUGGCUGAAUAGUCCUUUUAUUGAUGCUAAGUAUAUGAGGCAACCUCAUUUUUGGACCAAAAAGAGGGGUGAUGACGAUGAUGACUGGCUGAAACAAUCAUGUCUAGAGCAAUCAAGACAGCCUUGGCUUGUGGGACUAAAUAGAGCUGAAAAAGUCUAUUUCAACACACACGAACCCAUUGACCUCCCAUGUUCCUGGGGAGCGUUGCAUGUCGGAAAAGUUAGGGGUUGUGUCACACAAAGUUCUGCAUUGACACUUAGAAAGGCACCAUAA
RNAcentral lists this ribosomal RNA (360 nucleotides) under Triticum aestivum (bread wheat). Its description in RNAcentral is "partial small subunit ribosomal RNA". The record is from RNAcentral. Lineage: Eukaryota; Viridiplantae; Streptophyta; Magnoliopsida; Poales; Poaceae.